AGCGAACGCUGGCGGCGUGCUUAACACAUGCAAGUCGAGUGCGCGUUUCGUAGCAAAUACGGGAUGGCGCACGGCGCACGGGUGAGGAACACGUGGGCAACAUGCCCUCUGAUGGGGAAUAACCCCGCGAAAGCGGGGCUAAUACCGCAUAAGAUUCCGGGGACCUCGGUACCCUGGACUGAAAGCCCGCAAGGGCGUCGGAGGAGUGGCCCGCGGCCGAUUAGCUUGUUGGCGGGGAACGCCCACCAAGGCAAUGAUCGGUAGCCGGUCUGAGAGGAUGAUCGGCCACACUGGAACUGAGACACGGUCCAGACUCCUACGGGAGGCAGCAGUGGGGAAUCUUGCGCAAUGGGCGAAAGCCUGACGCAGCGACGCCGCGUGGGGAUGAAGCCUUUCGGGGCGUAAACCCCUUUCGAACCCGGACGAAUAGCCCGCAAGGGAAUUGAACGGUACGGGUAUAAGAAG
This 465-nucleotide ribosomal RNA is filed under the name uncultured bacterium. RNAcentral's name for it is "bacterial SSU rRNA". It matches the Rfam family "Bacterial small subunit ribosomal RNA", at positions 30 to 490 of the family's 1533-position model. The record is from RNAcentral.